UACGUAGGGAGCAAGCGUUGUCCGGAAUCAUUGGGCGUAAAGCGCGCGUAGGCGGCCCUGUAAGUCCGUUGUGAAAGUCAAAGGCUCAACCUUUGAAAGCCGAUGGAUACUGCAGGGCUAGAGUUCGGAAGAGGCGAGUGGAAUUCCUGGUGUAGCGGUGGAAUGCGCAGAUAUCAGGAGGAACACCAAUAGCGAAGGCAGCUCGCUGGGACGAUACUGACGCUAAGGCGCGAAAGCGUGGGGAGCAAACGGG
This 253-nucleotide ribosomal RNA is filed under the name uncultured bacterium. Its description in RNAcentral is "partial 16S ribosomal RNA". It matches the Rfam family "Bacterial small subunit ribosomal RNA", at positions 524 to 776 of the family's 1533-position model. The record is from RNAcentral.